UCAAAGAAAAGAGAUUUCAACUCCUACCCUCAACUCCCAAAGCUGAGAUUCUUACAUUAAACUACUCUUUG
RNAcentral lists this transfer RNA (71 nucleotides) under Plectropomus leopardus (leopard coralgrouper). RNAcentral describes it as "tRNA-Pro". Lineage: Eukaryota; Metazoa; Chordata; Actinopteri; Perciformes; Serranidae. The record is from RNAcentral.